This 159-nucleotide small nuclear RNA is filed under the name Cercocebus atys (sooty mangabey). RNAcentral's name for it is "U1 spliceosomal RNA (ENSCATG00000017842.1)". It matches the Rfam family "U1 spliceosomal RNA". From Rfam's summary of the family: U1 is a small nuclear RNA (snRNA) component of the spliceosome (involved in pre-mRNA splicing). Its 5' end forms complementary base pairs with the 5' splice junction, thus defining the 5' donor site of an intron. Lineage: Eukaryota; Metazoa; Chordata; Mammalia; Primates; Cercopithecidae. The record is from RNAcentral.
AUACUUACCUGGCAGGGGAGACACUAUGAUCACAAAGGUGGUUUUCCCAGGGUUAGGCUCAUAUUCCAGGUGUGCUGACUGACCCCUGCAAUUUCCCCAAAUGCAGGAAAUUCAACUCUAUAAUCGGUGGUUGGGGGGACUGUGCUUGCAAUUUCCCAU